Gasterosteus aculeatus aculeatus (three-spined stickleback) is the source of this 5633-nucleotide long non-coding RNA. The record is from Ensembl. Lineage: Eukaryota; Metazoa; Chordata; Actinopteri; Perciformes; Gasterosteidae.
CACACACACACACACACACACUAAGCAGCCUUCUAGAAACGACUGUACACAGAUACCACACACAGGCGAUCACAGCCGCUCAAUUCCACUUCAUGUCCUCCACACGCACACGCACACACACACACACGCACACACGCACACACCGAGCGACGGACUGAGGAAAAGAGCCUAUAGACCCACCAGCCAUCGACGGCGGUGCCAUUAUACUCUGAGUUCGGGGAGACUGAGGGAAGCGAGCGAGUCAGGGGGGGAAAUGAUGCCAUAAUUAUUCUCUGGGGUCGAAGGGGACGAAAGGGAGCGCAGAGAAAAGCGGCCUGUCCGACCGCCGCGGUGGAUUCAGUCGAUAGCCGGCGGAGGCGGUUUCGAGAGCUAUUGAGAGCUAGAAAAUUUAAAUUUUGAAAACGGCCAAAGUAUCCCAGUUAGUCCUCUGACAAGCCAUCCAGACUUGGCGGACGAGACGCGCGUGCUAGGUGGCCCACCGACCGUUUGUGAAAAAUCCCCUUUCAGGAUUUUAUCUCGCGAACGGUUUCUCCUUUCUUUCAAUUAGGUCUCCGUCUCCUCCCUCCGCUCACCUGUUACCAUCCCCUCCUGCCUCCCCGUCUCCCCCCCCCGCUAUCUCCCCUCCUUUGUUGGCUCCUGUUAAUGAAAGGAUUAGUGUUGGGCUGCGUUCCCGACGAGGAAGAAAGGAAUAUGACUUGCCGAGGCAUUAAAGAAGAGCUUAAUUAUUUUAGAAUGUCAUUAAGAGGAUAAAAAGGUUUAAAAGUCUUAAGAAGGGCAAGGGGAGUGAAUGAAUUAGGAACUGAAAUGGGUGGAUGUUUUUUUUUCUGAACGCUACCACACAUGUCGACACAUUUAUACACGCAGCAGGCAGCAUACACAUCUCUGAACGCCGUAUUUGUAUAAAAAAAAAAGAGCAGCAACAUAAAUUAAAUGAAUCUUUUAAGAAAAAAAAAAAAGUUUACUAUUGAAACGCAUUAUGAAGCAAAUAUACUAACACAGAAUAUUAGCCUAUAGAGGUGCAAAGCCGAACAAACCUGUCCAGUGAUCUUUAAAGAAAAUAAAGAAAAGAAUAAAAAAAAAAAAAUGUCAUUUGUCUUUAUGAGAAACCAGAGGUUUAAUGGAUUUUUUAUCAAUUGUUAUUAUUUGAACAAUUCUGAUUGUUGUUAAUGUUAUUAUUAUGGCCGUUGGUAUUAUUACAAUUGUAAAUGUUAAAGAAACGUACACUUCCCAUGGUUUGUUUUCCGUUCCACUGUAGAGAAAUUGCUGUCUUUUUUCACUCUUACCUUUCCUCUCUCUUCGUCUUCUGUGCCUAGUCGUCUCUUCUCCUGUCCUUCACUCCCGUUUGGUUCAGAGUCUCAUGCGUAACUGUUGAUGUAUAGCUAACUAUUCUUUAUAGGGGAAAGAUACAAAGCACGAAAAAAUUAAAAAGAAUUCCAAAACAACCCCUGGGAUCCGACUGGUUUUUGGGUCUGUUCACUGUGCACAUGGUUCCGUCCAUGGGGGGCAGUGGAGCUCCAGCUGGGAGGACGAAGAUGUAGGAAACCGAGCCCGUCGUGGCAGCUCAAUUAGGACAAAUAAAAUAAACAGAAGGUUCCGCGGCGCCGCUAAUGAAUCACGGGCACAGACAGAAGUCGCGGGUUGAGACAGCAAAAUGUGACCCCGCCGUUGACUUCCGCACAAUCAAUACCCGAUUGUGUCGGGAGGCACUCAGCGUGUGCAUCCGCGUGCGGGCCUGGAUUUGAAAGCCGCUGGAGGUCGCCGGAGGGGACGGAUCGAUGGGUUUCUCUUCCGUCGGUGGCGAGGCGCCGCGGUCGCCGGUCAUAAAGACAGAUGGUCAAACGGCAAUCAAAGUAAUGGACUCGCCGGGCGCCACCGCCGUGAGUUGACACUCGAUAGACAUAUCUGGAGUUUAUGAUGACGCAGAGUUAGCGUUAGCAGCUCCCGCUAUCUGGGCCACCGUGGUGGAUCAGCAAUGAAGACGGAAAUGUCCUCUGUUCUGCUUCUCCUCACGGGAAGGAAGAGGAAAUAUUUCCUUUUAAAUCCUUUUUCACUAGACAAUAAAAACGACACAUUUUCAGCUGCUAGACGUGAUGAAGAACAUAGACGGUGAUCAUGGAAUCAAUCAAAGACACAAGCAGGAACGACAUUGGUAGCAGUUUAUUCCUCGACAUGUAAACGUGGGAACAUUGUCUCGCCAGUAAUGACAGCGAGAAGCCAGUGGACACAAGAAGCCAGUGGACAGGUAGAAGUCAGUGGACAGGUAGAAGUCAGUGGACAGCAAGAAGCCAGUGGACAGGUAGAAGUCAGUGGACAGCAAGAAGCCAGUAGACAGGUGGAAGUCAGUAGACAGGUAGAAGCCAGUGGACAGGUAGAAGCCAGUGGACAGGUAGAAGUCAGUGGACAGGUAGAAGCCAGUGGACAGGUAGAAACCAGUGGACAGGUAGAAGUCAGUGGACAGGUAGAAGCCAGUGGACAGGUAGAAGCCAGUGGACAGGUAGAAGCCAGUGGACAGGUAGAAGUCAGUGGACAGAAAGAAGUCAGUGGACAGGUAGAAGCCAGUGGACAGGUAGAAGCCAGUGGACAGGUAGAAGUCAGUGGACAGAAAGAAGUCAGUGGACAGGUAGAAGCCAGUGGACAGCCGUCGCUCCCUCGUGCUACUUUCACCAUUUAACGCCCUGGAGCGUCUCUACGUGAGAUAAUUCCCGGUUUACGGCCCUUUUAUGGCGCUCGUAAUUCAUUUCUACGACUUGGCGCAGGCCGUCCAAAAACAAACUCUUCAUUUUUCUGCUGGAUUAGACACAGUUUUGUCCAUCUGUGAAAUCAACCCCCGGUGACCUCAGAACGGGGCACGCGGCUUGUAGUGCGCGGCGGCGUGGCACGAGGCAUUGAUUGUGGAGCCCGAGUGUGACCAGACCCACAACAAUCAGGGAGCAAAGAGAUUUACGGCCGAGAGAACAAUUGAAUCGGCAGAAGCCGGGGAUUUUUCUUUUUUUUUUACCCCCUUUAUCCUGAUUGAUCCAUAAAUAAUCAGAGUAAUGCACAUCCAACAAAUAGCAAAGCAAAAGAAAUCCAUGUGUAUUUUUUGAGUUCAUACAAAAUAGAUGAAAACAAGACAGCGGCUUUGAGAAUAAAUGUAAAAUAGUCACAGAAUCCGUGAAAAUGAUCAACUGACGAGAAUUGCGAGCGACUAAUUCAAAGCCACAGAGCAGAAAUUGAAAAAAAAACAAAAAAAACAAAUUGGAGAGGGAGAGAAUGAGCUGAAAAAGAAAAAGAAAAGAGAAAUGUCACGUCGAUGUCCCGUGCAGAAGGAGAUGGAUUCUCAAAACAACACGUUUCAAGACGAACAAUCCAAGUGGGGCGAGCGAGGCCCGUUUCAUUACACGUUUAAUCAAAUAGUCAUAACCAGGUUAAUGAUGUUUUCCCUACGCCGCCGCGUCCUCUCUGGACCACAUUUCACUGAGUGUUUAAUUAAACGCUGUCACUCAUAUCUACAUCGCUGGUGGUCGGCUUAGCACAGACUUAGAGGGCUUAUGAUAAUACCACUGGGGGGGGAGAGGGGGGGGGGGGGCAGUCAAAGACAACAGACAUCUGCGAUCAGGAUUUCAUCGCCGAGAGACUUCUCGCUGACAUUUGGUGUGGGCCCUGAUAAUUAACUGGCCUUUUCAUUUACAAGUUAUUCAUGGAGUCUGCGCCAGGUUGCUGAUUAGUCAACAGGCGGACAACAAACGCCGCGCCGUGUUUGUUCUCCGUCAGUCCGCAAGCUGUUGCAAACACUUGCCUUUUUUUUUUUUUUUUUUUUUAACCCGCAUGCACACAAAACAUGGCGGGAACACAAAAACAACGGCGCGCUUGUUUGAGCGGGAAGACUUCAGACCUCUGGGAAGACUUUGGCUUUCAGGGAGCGUUUGGCUGAGGACCAGGGGGCCGCCCGCACGGCCUCGCGCAGCGCCGCGCGCACCGAUUUCCCUCCGGACGCCGCCGCUGCUCCCGGAGGCGGGAGGGGGGCGACCGAGAGGGGAAAGGACGCCCUCUCUCCCCCGACUCGUUUCCCGGGCGGAGUGAAGAGGAUCGGGGGCACGAGGCCGUACAGCUGAAAGAGGAACACGGCGACGGCGUGAACCCAGGCGGGAAGAUUGGUGCCUGAGGUGAAGAGCAGGAGGGCGUGGACGAUGUGGAGCGGCAGGCACAGGAGGACUAAAAGGGAAAGGGACAGCGCCGGGGAACGCGCCUGCCGCGACGCACGUUUAGUGGGGUCUGCGUGACUGAGAGGCGUCUUCCCGGGCCUGACGCACAACAGGUCCAGGUAGACCAGCAGCAGGCAAAGCAAGGGGAGCAUGAACGCCGUCGUCCCGUGGACGUAGAUCAAGAACUGGGGGCUGAGAACGGUGUCGGCGGCGCACACCCCCCAGUGGCUGCUGUGAAUCUCGGCGUAGGUGAAGUUGUGCAUGUCUUCCACGUAAAACUUUGACAGGAAGCCCCCGUACGGAAGGUACUUGCCGAUGACCUUGCGCCCGUGGUCGUACCUAAGGGGCGGGGAAGACGUAAGGCGGGGCGAAGGCGGCGGCGUCGUCCAGUUGCCGUGCAGCCCGAGGCCGGCCGUGUCCGGGUCGGUCGCGCGGCUCCUCCAGGUGUCGAGGACGUCCGAGCCGAUGAACUGGGAGAAGGAGGACAGGACGGAGGCCACCCAGCACAGGAGGACCAGGCAGAGAGCUCGCUGGCGGGUCAUCGCCGAGGAGUACCUGCCGUUCACAAACACAGCAGUGACAGCAAGACGCCUUGAUGCCAAAAUAGACCUAUGUAGGAAAUCUGAUGUACAAAAACCUCCCUUCUACCCACACGAACUGGUGCGAAGACAUUGAAGCCCAUCAAAACGAUAGAUAAUUCUCUCUUUCUAACGCUGAAGGCCGGACUUGUAGGUCACCCUCUCUCAAAUAUCAAAAGGCCCUGAGCCCGUUGAAAUGUGCUCCCUCACCUCUGCUUCUCUCCGAAGGCAGCGUAAGCAGUGUGUGAUACAAAUCUUCCUGGUGAUCAAUGAGAGGCCUAUCGAUGUGUCACGCGGGGGAAAAUCUUGACUUUCUGCUGUUUUUUGAUCUUCCCAUAUGGAUUUUUUUUUUGCUUUACUGCCGUCUUCGCCCUCACCCGUGCUAUGAAAAUGUUACAUGCCGUUGCCAUCGACGGUAUGUAGUGCUGUUUUAUAUUCAUGUUGUUUUGUGUGUUUAUUCAAUACCGUGACAUUCAACAGCUCUUGGUUCUUCCACUGCUCAAACUGACAGACUUACCUGUCUGCCAAGCGGUGCCGCAGGUGGCCAUCCAGCGUGAGGAGCAUCAACAGGAACAUGGUGAACUGCCUGACCAGCAGGGGGCAACACACCAAGGUUAUGCACGUGUACAGACACUGCGGGGUUCGCUGGUUGAGCAACACGUUCGCGGGGAUCCCGGCUGCGCCCCCGACGGCGCCCGCCCAGCCCAAGCACAGGCGGAGACAGCAUGAGACGCUGCCGGGUUGGAGCGUGGCCCCCUGGGAUCCGGCCCCGCUGCCGCUCGCGGCCAUGCACAACCUCACGCUCGCCACGACCACAGCCGCCGACAGGAUGCACUGGCACAGAGAGUACACCCCCAUGCCGUCCAUUUCC